GGUAUAUUCACAUACCCAAAUCGAGCAACGUAUGAGAAAGUUAUUGACGAAUGUUCGGUGUAUGCGCGUUAAAUAACGUCAAUUUGGUUAUUUUUUUGUAUAGGUGAAAAUUAUACAGAAGAAGAAUGUAACCAAUCUAGGGGAGGCUCAGGGACCCACGAGACGUCGAUGUGAUCUGUUCAAGAAUUGCAAAGGUGUGGUAACUACGAGGAAAUUCAACGGUGUUCUGACAGAAUGGACCGAAUGAGGACUCACUUUCGGGUGGUUCAUCUUAGAAGUUGUAUAUUUUUAAAGCUUCCGAACUGUGUAAAUGGUUACGUCACUCUCACGUGACGGCCAGCAUGCCCUCCUUCGGGACGGGGUGUGUCAGUUGGUAUCAGAGCUUAGUUUCAAUCUUGGACAUCUUGAGAAGUUCUAGUGAAUUCUGUCAGAACUACACCGCCUCGUAGCAAACCACGUAGUUAGAGGAACUUAGUCUCCCUGAUUUAGCUGUUAGGGGGAAACUAUUAUUUUGGUGAUUCAGUAUAUUAUCUAAAGGGACAUUUUAAGAUGGGUUAUGAGUUGAAUUUGAAUCACCUUAUGAAAUGAUGAACCUGAGGGAGCAAAGUGAUGGAUUAACCAAUUGGAAAUGAUGUUUUAGGUUAUGCAAGUCAAAGGAAUCUUCCUUUUGACAGAAGGGUUGAGAUGACCACCUGGUUUGAAUUAUGAACUUGUAUCCUGGUGGAAACAGGAGUAUAAUUCGUUGUCACCGGAGGAAACAGCCGAUUGAGAAUUGUUUAAGGACUUAUUUAAAGAAAAGAAUUAUUCAUUCGACAUUUUAUGAUGGUAGAAAGCAAGAGUUUGCAAAUGUGAGACAAGAAAAGCUGACGAUCAAUGAGUAUUAUAGAAAGUUCUCAGACUUGCCUCGUCCCAUUCGAAUAUUGCUGCUAUUUUGAUUGAAAUGUUAUAUUGUUUUAGGCUGGGUGGCAUAAGGCAGUAGUAUUUUGGGUGACCACUAUCCAUUGUAAUUCUUACCAGGAGCAUACAAGAUGUUGUUGAGUCUAGAGGACUCUGAGAACACGUUCAGCGAGAGUAAA
Long non-coding RNA from Pyrus x bretschneideri (Chinese white pear), 1076 nucleotides. RefSeq lists it as uncharacterized. The record is from RefSeq and is a predicted model, not a curated record. The transcript is spliced from 2 exons. Lineage: Eukaryota; Viridiplantae; Streptophyta; Magnoliopsida; Rosales; Rosaceae.